UACGUAGGGGGCAAGCGUUGUCCGGAAUCAUUGGGCGUAAAGCGCGUGUAGGCGGCCAUCCAAGUCCGAUGUGAAAGCUCGGGGCUCAACCCCGAGUCUGCAUUGGAAACUGUAUGGCUUGAGUCCGGAAGAGGAGACUGGAAUUCCUGGUGUAGCGGUGAAAUGCGCAGAUAUCAGGAAGAACACCGGUGGCGAAGGCGGGUCUCUGGGACGGUACUGACGCUGAGACGCGAAAGCGUGGGGAGCAAACAGGAUUAGAUACCCUGGUAGUCCACGCCGUAAACGAUGGGCACUAGGUGUGGGAGGUGUCGACUCCUUCCGUGCCGUAGCUAACGCAUUAAGUGCCCCGCCUGGGGAGUACGGCCGCAAGGCUAAA
This 376-nucleotide ribosomal RNA is filed under the name uncultured bacterium. RNAcentral describes it as "bacterial SSU rRNA". It matches the Rfam family "Bacterial small subunit ribosomal RNA", at positions 524 to 898 of the family's 1533-position model. The record is from RNAcentral.